Molecule: long non-coding RNA, 796 nt
Filed under: Anas platyrhynchos platyrhynchos (common mallard)
Lineage: Eukaryota; Metazoa; Chordata; Aves; Anseriformes; Anatidae
Description: lncRNA (ENSAPLG00000027733.1)
Rfam family: SOX2 overlapping transcript exon 3 (bases 526-794)
Source: RNAcentral
CCUCAAUGGGCAAAGGGGAAGAAAUGUCUCUGUCAGUGUGAAACAUUUGUGCUACACUUUUGGGGCUCCUAAAAAGAGCUGGAGAUUGAGCUGCUUUUUAGAAACCCAGAAGUAGGCUCUUGAUAUCAUCAAUCUUCCAAAGAAACAGGGAGAUUUGUCAGAUACAUGAAGCUUGGAAUGAGCCAGUUGAGAGACUGCCAAAAUAUUAAAUCAUAGAAAACUAGAAAUAGGCUGACUACAGGCUAGAGGAUUUCCUCUGUUACGAUGAAAAGUAUUUACAGAAAUUUAAAGCUGCUGUUUUCACAAAGAAAAGGAAUUUUUUACUCUGAAGUCUGUAUAGCUAAAAGUAUACCUAGAAAAAACAGUUUGGGAAAGAGAAAACAAACAAAAUGAGGAGAAUGCCUAAGGCAAGAUGACUGACAGAGACUUGGCAAAUAAAAGAACAUCUGCUGAAGGUAUGCGGCUGAUAUGGAGAAUAUGUCAAGUCAACUGGAUGAGUCAGCACGGGCAACAUAAAGGACUGCAGUUAAAAGCUAGGGCUAGGACUUGGAGGAUGUGUAGGCAAACGGAAGGAGAGCCGGGGGAAGAAAAACCGAAAUGGAUUCAUUCUCCGUCCUGGAUGGAGGAGGAGAGGAGAGGAGAAGGGGACGUGCGAGCUUCCUUCAGCUGCCUCUGUCCGGUGAAAAGUGCUCGAAGCCCCGGGGCUGCCUCGGGCUCAGGAGUCCGCGCGGACUUUCGCUGUAAGCUGCCAAUCAAACUGCUAACUAGCCACCACCCUGCUCUGGCACGGACAUGA